GAGUUUGAUCCUGGCUCAGGACGAACGCUGGCUGCGUGCUUAACACAUGCAAGUCGAACGCUGAAGCCGACAGCUUGCUGUUGGUGGAUGAGUGGCGAACGGGUGAGUAACACGUGAGUAACCUGCCCCUGAUUUCGGGAUAAGCCUGGGAAACUGGGGGUAAUACCGGAUAUGACCAAUCUUCGCAUGAGGGUUGGUGGAAAGUUUUUCGAUCGGGGAUGGGCUCGCGGCCUAUCAGCUUGUUGGUGGGGUAAUGGCCUACCAAGGCGACGACGGGUAGCCGGCCUGAGAGGGCGACCGGCCACACUGGGACUGAGACACGGCCCAGACUCCUACGGGAGGCAGCAGUGGGGAAUAUUGCACAAUGGGGGAAACCCUGAUGCAGCGACGCAGCGUGCGGGAUGACGGCCUUCGGGUUGUAAACCGCUUUCAGCAGGGAAGAAGCGAAAGUGACGGUACCUGCAGAAGAAGUACCGGCUAACUACGUGCCAGCAGCCGCGGUAAUACGUAGGGUACGAGGGUUGUCCGGAAAUAUUGGGCGUAAAGAGCUCGUAGGUGGUUGGUCAGGUGGGGGGUGGAAACCCCACGCUUAAAGUUGCGGGGGCAGAAGGUACGGGCUGAAUAGAAUGCAGUAGGGGAGUUUGGAAUUUCUGGUGUAGCGGUGAAAUGCGCAGAUAUCAGGAGGAACACCGGUGGCGAAGGCGGGACUUUGGGCUGUAACUGACCCUGAGGAGCGAAAGCAUGGGGAGCGAACAGGAUUAGAUUCCCUGGUAGUCCAUGCCGUAAACGUUGGGCACUAGGUGUGGGGGACAUUCCACGUUCUCCGCGCCGUAGCUAACGCAUUAAGUGCCCCGCCUGGGGAGUACGGUCGCAAGGCUAAAACUCAAAGGAAUUGACGGGGGCCCGCACAAGCGGCGGAGCAUGCGGAUUAAUUCGAUGCAACGCGAAGAACCUUACCAAGGCUUGACAUACACUGGACCGUUCUGGAAACAGUUCUUCUCUUUGGAGCUGGUGUACAGGUGGUGCAUGGU
This 1031-nucleotide ribosomal RNA is filed under the name Brevibacterium epidermidis. Its description in RNAcentral is "bacterial SSU rRNA". It matches the Rfam family "Bacterial small subunit ribosomal RNA", at positions 9 to 1049 of the family's 1533-position model. The record is from RNAcentral. Lineage: Bacteria; Bacillati; Actinomycetota; Actinomycetes; Micrococcales; Brevibacteriaceae.